Molecule: ribosomal RNA, 254 nt
Filed under: uncultured bacterium
Lineage: Bacteria
Description: partial 16S ribosomal RNA
Rfam family: Bacterial small subunit ribosomal RNA
Source: RNAcentral
UACGGGGGGAGCAAGCGUUGUUCGGAUUUACUGGGCGUAAAGGGCGCGUAGGCGGCCACCGCAAGUCAAUUGUGAAAUCUCCGGGCUUAACUCGGAAAGGUCAACUGAUACUGCGGGGCUAGAGUGCGGAAGGGGCAACUGGAAUUCUCGGUGUAGCGGUGAAAUGCGCAGAUAUCAGGAAGAACACCAAUGGCGAAGGCAGCUCUCUGGGACGGUACUGACGCUGAGACGCGAAAGCGUGGGGAGCGAACAGG